This 273-nucleotide unclassified non-coding RNA is filed under the name Laetisaria sp. RNAcentral describes it as "partial internal transcribed spacer region". The stretch from base 1 to 46 matches the Rfam family "Eukaryotic small subunit ribosomal RNA", at positions 1786 to 1831 of the family's 1831-position model. Lineage: Eukaryota; Fungi; Basidiomycota; Agaricomycetes; Corticiales; Corticiaceae. The record is from RNAcentral.
AAGUCGUAACAAGGUUUCCGUAGGUGAACCUGCGGAAGGAUCAUUACUGGAAAUAUUCAAGGUUGUAGCUGGCCCUUUCGGGGGUAAUGUGCUCGCCUUGUUUUCAAUCCAAUUCACACCUGUGCACACUUUGUAGUGUUUUGGUAUUGUCUCUUUCGGGAGAUUAAAACCAAGCUCUACGUAUUUUUACACAUACACUUAUAAAGUUUAGAAUGUAAUACUUGUGAUAACACACAUUUAAAACAACUUUCAACAACGGAUCUCUUGGCUCUC